Long non-coding RNA from Pan paniscus (pygmy chimpanzee), 415 nucleotides. NCBI's taxonomy places the organism in Eukaryota, Metazoa, Chordata, Mammalia, Primates, Hominidae. The record is from Ensembl.
UAGGAGAUUUCCAGAGAACACUUACGUGUCCAUGAUGCCAUGUGUGACCUUUGGUCCAACCUGUGACCAUACGAAGACUUUGGAGAAGCCAAAUAUUUAUCCCAAACCACAUCUCCUGACAUCCAUAACAGAUGCUGAAUGUUCCGUGUCCGUCCCGGGCUGCUGGCUGAUUUGAAUCCCCUCCCUGUGCCUGCUAAGUGUCAGCUCUGGAGGCCACCCCCACAGUGUCCCUCCUGCAGGUAUCCCUUUGCCUUCACCACUUAGUUCUUCAGGUGAUGACAUCAGCCCUCCCCUUCACCAACCUUUUUCAAGUUUUCUUCCUCUCUUUCACUCUCUCUCUUGCCAAACUUUAUUUGUACUUAAAAAAAAAAGUAAGUAGACACCAAAAUUAAAAUGGAAAACUAUCUGAGAGCUG